This 465-nucleotide ribosomal RNA is filed under the name uncultured Klebsiella sp. RNAcentral describes it as "bacterial SSU rRNA". It matches the Rfam family "Bacterial small subunit ribosomal RNA", at positions 338 to 795 of the family's 1533-position model. The record is from RNAcentral. Lineage: Bacteria; Pseudomonadati; Pseudomonadota; Gammaproteobacteria; Enterobacterales; Enterobacteriaceae.
CCUACGGGUGGCAGCAGUGGGGAAUAUCGCACAAUGGGCGCAAGCCUGAUGCAGCCAUGCCGCGUGUGUGAAGAAGGCCUUCGGGUUGUAAAGCACUUUCAGCGGGGAGGAAGGCGGUGAGGUUAAUAACCUCAUCGAUUGACGUUACCCGCAGAAGAAGCACCGGCUAACUCCGUGCCAGCAGCCGCGGUAAUACGGAGGGUGCAAGCGUUAAUCGGAAUUACUGGGCGUAAAGCGCACGCAGGGGGUCUGUCAAGUCGGAUGUGAAAUCCCCGGGCUCAACCUGGGAACUGCAUUCGAAACUGGCAGGCUAGAGUCUUGUAGAGGGGGGUAGAAUUCCAGGUGUAGCGGUGAAAUGCGUAGAGAUCUGGAGGAAUACCGGUGGCGAAGGCGGCCCCCUGGACAAAGACUGACGCUCAGGUGCGAAAGCGUGGGGAGCAAACAGGAUUAGAUACCCGUGUAGUC